AGUGGUUCUCCGGCUCUUGCCGCUGCGGUGGCUUUGGGUCCCUCUUCGUCUGGCUUUCGCAGCCGAGGAGACUCUCUGGAAAAUGGGCUACUCGAAGAGAGAUGCUCCGUUGCCUCAGGCGGAGGGCGGGGACGCCGGGCCUGCGACACUUCAUCUUUUCCUGGCCCCGAGGUGGCUGGGAUCCGUUCCACCUUCGGCCCAGUUCCCCAGCCAGGCCCCUGAGCCGUUUAGCCCGGAUUUGCGACCCGUGAGGUUUUGAGGACAAGUGAAAAGAGCUCUUUGUGUGGAUUUUGCUGCAAUGUUUCUCUCCUACCCAGUAGGAAUGAGGCCUUAGCUUGCGCGGAAAAACCCAGGCCUGGUUUGAGAACGUGUGAAAAUGCACCGCCUUCUAAGUGGCUUUAUUAUACGUGGAUGUUUAAGUUACUUAAACUACAAGCUCCCUCUCCAAAAGGAUUCUUUUUUUUUUUUUCUUUUUUUUUGAGACGGAGUCUCGCUAUGUUGCCCAGCCUGGAGUGCAGUGGCGCGAUCUUGCUCACUGCAAGCUCUGCCUCCCGGGUUCACGCCAUUGUCCUGCCUCAGCCUUCCAAGUAGCUGGGACUACAGGCGUCCGCCAACACGCCUGGCUAAUUUUUUGUAUUUUUAGUAGAGACGUAGUUUCACCGUGUUAGGAUGGUCUCGAUCUCCUGACCUCGUGAUCCGCCCGCCUCGGCCUCCCAAAGUGCUAGGAUUACAGGCGUGAGCCACCGCGCCCGGCCAGAAUUGUUUGUUUGUUUGUUUGAGACGAAGGAGUCUCGCGCUCCGUGGCCCCGGCUGAAGUGCAGUGGCGCGAUCUCUGCUCACUGUAACCUCCAUCUCCCGGGUUCAAGUGAUCCUGGCGCGUCAGCCUCCCGAGUAGCUGGAAUUACAGACGCCCGUCACUACGCCCGGCUAAUUUUUGUAUUUUAAUAGAGACGGGGUUUCGCUAUUUUGGCCAGGGUGGUCUGGACCUCCUGACCUCAAGAUAUCCGCCCGCCUUAGCCUGCCAAAGUGCUGGGAUUACAGGCGUGAGCUACCGCGCCCGGCCAAAAGGAUAGUUCUUGACACGACCUUUCUUCCAUUAGAGGUCAAGCUAAGAAAAUAUGUAAACCCUCUCACAAGCAGUAGAAUUCCUAGGCAGUUUAGGAACUGUGUUGAGGCACUUGUACAUCUUUUCUAUCCAGGAUUUCAAAUGCAGUAACAAGUGCUUUGAUCUUUUUUUUUUUUUUUUUUUUUUUUUUUUCUUUUUUUCUUGAGACACAGCCUGGCUCUGUUGCCCAGGCUGUAGUGCAGUAGCCACCGCGCCCGGCCGAUUUUUCAUCGUUUGAUACAAACAGAAUCAUGCCAAAUGUCCGGAUCAGAUGUUUGUUUCAGGUGAAUUAACUAUAGUUUUAACUUCCAACCUUUUAUCUUUUUUACAGGUUUUAACUUCCAAUCUCAUGGUCAUUUGUAUUCGGCCAUUGAAUUUAAAUUUAUUUUUAAAAUGUUCCUUAAGUAACCACCAGGUUCUUAAAUGUUCAAGGAAGUCAUAAAUGUGAGAGAACAUAGCUGCAGACCACAUACUGCCCCUAAGAGAGCUGGGCAAGGGCAGGAGCAUUGUGAAUUUCAUGGAAGGGUGUCAAUUUGCUGUGGGUCUUUCGGGGAAAGGGGAGUGAAGUAUCUGAAUCAGGGAGAAGCACUUGAAAAAAAGUCUUUGCAAGGGAAGCUGACUGUUCAAUAAAGUGCCACUUUGGAGAAUGUUGGGGUAAAGAAGUUGUAAAGGCAGGAUACAGCCAGUUGACAGAGACGCUAUUUGGAGAGAUUUUAAAGCUAUGGAGUCUGAGGAGCAGGUUCUUCUCCACGCCCCUAAAAAAAAAAAAAUACAAAUGGGGAGGCAGGGAAGAUCCCUUGAGCCCAGGAAAUAGAGGCUGCAGUGAGCUAUGAUUGCACCUAUGCACUUAAGCUUGGGUGACAGAGCAAAAAACCUGUCUCAAAAAAAAAAAAAAAAAAAAAAGUCAAAAAGAUCGAAGCAAUCAGCAGCCACAUAAUUAGUGAAUAUGUUGAGCACUGGGUAUGUGAUCUUGCUAGACCCACAGUAAUAGCCACUUCCAAAAGAGAGGGUAUUUUAUUAGGGUUUAAAACUGACAUUUCUACUUUUGGGAAAUCAGCUUUUGCUGCAGAAUAUGCUUCUUGUUUUCACCCAAGUUUUCCAUGCACAACUUAAGACUUGUUAACACCAGCUUGUGAAAUGAAGGUAGGUGAAAAAAACAGAAGCAACUGAAACAGCAGUUUCUCCACUUAGUAUUUUUUGUUACUUAACAAUGUAUUCCCAUACCUAUUUCUAAAUGCACAGCCCUGCUAUAUGGUCUCUCACUAAAUUUCCGAUUGGUCUAAUUAUUAAAAAACACCCACCCUUAACAUAGCUUUCUUUAGAGCUUUGUUUUUGUCCUACAGAGACAGGAUGUGAUCUUUUGAAAUGUGCCAGAUGACUAAGCAGUUAACACAAAUCUUACUAACUUCAUUUAGCAGCAACAAAUGCAAUCUCCAAGAUAUAAAGCCAAGCUGGACAUUUUCUAUUUUUUUUCAGAGGUUUCACACUCCAAGGAAUGCACCUAUCUGUCAAUAAUGAUCUACGGGAAUUUUGUUUUUAAAUACUGCCAAAAUUAAGCUUUAUAAAUUGGGCCUUAACACAAAGAAUUUUAUCGUUGAAGUAGAAUUUCUACUGCUAUUCAAAAAUACAACAGAUGUUUGAGAAUAAAAUAGUUACUUUUCUGAGAAUUUAGGGGUCUUUUUUGAGGUAUUAGUGCUAUUCAGAAAAAAAAGACUAGGCUUGGCUCGGCUUAGUGGCUCAGGCUUGUAAUCCCAGCACUUUGGGAGGCUGAAGUGGGAGUGUAACUUGAGCCCAGGAGUUCGAGAUCAGCCUGGGCAACAUAGGGAGACCCUGUCGUUUUGUUUUUUCAAGCUACCCAGGUUCCAAAAGGUUUCAAGUUUUCCAAAAUCUAUUUUGACCAAUAAAUUCAGAACUUAAAUGCUGUAUCUUUUGAGACUGAACCUUUAUUUUC
This 3056-nucleotide long non-coding RNA is filed under the name Homo sapiens (human). Its description in RNAcentral is "non-protein coding lnc-TMC7-2:3". The record is from RNAcentral. Lineage: Eukaryota; Metazoa; Chordata; Mammalia; Primates; Hominidae.